GAUGAACGCUGGCGGCGUGCCUAAUACAUGCAAGUCGAGCGAACAGACGAGGAGCUUGCUCCUCUGACGUUAGCGGCGGACGGGUGAGUAACACGUGGAUAACCUACCUAUAAGACUGGGAUAACUUCGGGAAACCGGAGCUAAUACCGGAUAAUAUAUUGAACCGCAUGGUUCAAUAGUGAAAUACGGUUUUUCUGUCUCUUAUAGAUUGAUCCGCGCCGCAUUAGCUAGUUGGUAAGGUAACGGCUUACCAAGGCAACGAUGCGUAGCCGACCUGAGAGGGUGAUCGGCCACACUGGAACUGAGACACGGUCCAGACUCCUACGGGAGGCAGCAGUAGGGAAUCUGCCGCAAUGGGCGAAAGCCUGACGGAGCAACGCCGCGUGAGUGAUGAAGGUCUUCGGAUCGUAAAACUCUGUUAUUAGGGAAGAACAAAUGUGUAAGUAACUAUGCACGUCUUGACGGUACCUAAUCAGAAAGCCACGGCUAACUACGUG
RNAcentral lists this ribosomal RNA (497 nucleotides) under uncultured bacterium. RNAcentral describes it as "partial 16S ribosomal RNA". It matches the Rfam family "Bacterial small subunit ribosomal RNA", at positions 28 to 507 of the family's 1533-position model. The record is from RNAcentral.